Long non-coding RNA from Helicoverpa armigera (cotton bollworm), 924 nucleotides. RefSeq lists it as uncharacterized. The transcript is spliced from 3 exons. The record is from RefSeq and is a predicted model, not a curated record. NCBI's taxonomy places the organism in Eukaryota, Metazoa, Arthropoda, Insecta, Lepidoptera, Noctuidae.
AUGUUUGCUUGCAUUGCAUUGGUAGUUUGACAUACCUACCUACACAGACAUAGUAAUCUGUGCAUUCAAUCGCGAUUCUUUCUUGCUAGCUGUCUGUAGUGCCGUGGUUAUUGCAGAUUAGUUGGACUGCGAUUGAUUUAAGUACGAAUCAAUAUGACGGUGAAAGAGGGAACUCCCGUAUACGGAAACAAAUUUCAAAUGGCCAAGCUCUGCCCCCUUUUAGCACCCAAAUAUUAUGAGCAUCUGAUGAAUGAUAAGGGUAACUACAGUCCAGUACGAAAUUGGGAUCUGAUGAUGGGUUCAAACAGCUUGGUGACUUUCUUCGCAAAUCUACAAAAGGAGAUAGACAGGAAGAAUGGUAUUCCUGAGCCAGAAAAAGUGGAUCCCAAUGAGCUAUUCCACAUGCAGAUUGACUUGUAAACUGAUUACAUCAAGCCAGUUUGCCUACCGUUGCCAGUAUUAUUUUGCCAAGAAGAUUUUAUGUUGAUAUGCAACCUUUUUAUUUAUUGGUCAUAACUAAUUAAGUUAACAAUGUAAUCCUAAAGAGCUUUUUCUGUACAUUGUUUGUAAUCUUAUCUAUUUUAAUAUUAAGUUUAUUUUUAAAUGAUAUAUAAGUUAAAUUAUCUUGGGUUGGAUUGGCAGAAAGUGUUGAAAGAACAACAGCUAGAAUACAGGGACUAAUAUAACUAGAAGAAGACUGAAGGCUUGGAAACUGAAUAGUAUUUACUUUGUUUAUAUUCAUUUAGAAAUAUGAAUUGUAGACAAGAAUUAUAGUUUAUGAUAUUUCUUUAUAAUGCCUAAGUUAAUGGUGGACAAUUUGUUUUUAAUUAUCAUUUCUAGUCAUGAUCAGUGAAUAUGUUUCAUUUGCUGCAGUAGAUCACUAUGUAUGUUUUGCCAUGUAUUAAUUAUAAUUUAACCCUAAAA